Long non-coding RNA from Mytilus californianus (California mussel), 3933 nucleotides. RefSeq lists it as uncharacterized. Lineage: Eukaryota; Metazoa; Mollusca; Bivalvia; Mytilida; Mytilidae. The transcript has 3 exons. The record is from RefSeq and is a predicted model, not a curated record.
UUAGCAAGAGCAUGCCAAACAUUAUAGAAAAAAAAAUGUACACUAGUCUGAAAGGAAUGGAAUUCGCAAUACUUUUGAAUAAUAUCAUCGGGAUUCGAACCCUUUCCUCUGUGACAUCGUGGCAACACCACCUUCACCGUGUCCAGCGCCUAAGACCACUCGACCACCUAGGCUACAUUACAAUAUAGCUUUCGGAGGUCAAUGUAAUGCCUUUCCUCGUCGGCUUUAUCUAGGGUUGUAACACAGUAUAUGAUGUAUAGUGGCAAGGCAACAGUAGACAGAUGUGCCUCUCAGAGAGUCUGCAAGGAAUACUGGUUGGCGUCACAAGGUUAUCAACAAAAAACAGGUCAAAAGUAAAAUAGCAAAAAUACCGAACUUUAAGGAAAGUCCUUCAUCAACAUGAUCAAAUGGCAAAAUCAAAAGCUCAACACAUCAAACGAAUGGAAAACAACUGUCAUAUUCCUGACUUGGUAUAGUCAUUUCCUCAUGUAGAAAAUGGUGGAUUAAACGUGAUUGUAUAGCUAGCUAACCUCUCACUUGUAUGACAGUCGAAUAGAAUUCCAUUAUAUUGACAACAAUGUGUGAGCAAAACAAAUAGACAUAAUAGGUAAAAAUGUCAAAAAUUGGGUUACAGCAGUCAACAUUGUGUUAUAAUCUUAAUCACUAUAAAAACAAAUAACAAUUUCAACAAUGAAAACUAAAUGGCAUCAAGACACUAUACGGACAAAGUACGUAAGCAAAAAUGAAAGACAAGAAUACACAAAAUUACCAUAGCAAAAUAAAACAAUGGCGGGAUGUAUAAAUCACUAGCCACGCCAAAAAUGGACUAAACAGUAAAGUUUAAAAAUAUACAAAGACAAAAAAAAACCACACUAUAACACGGAAAAAUAUCCCCUUUCCAUACACAUACACAUAUAUUGAAUAAUGAAGGACUAUUUGAUUUUUGGGGAAAGCGAGAGGAUUGAGCUUGGAAAAUUUUAGCAAAUAUCAAAUAUAAGUGUUUUCCGGAUUAAAUUAUUUAUUUUUGCCAUAGGCUGAUUUAAAUCAAUUAUGUUUACACAAGCUAGCAUCUGAAGCAAACACUUUUUUCCUUACCUUCUGCAACAAACUAUGUACUUCAAAUUAUUGUAAUUAUUGUAAAAAAUUCCUUUCAAAUAUUAUCCAAGCACCCCCACCCCCCUCUUCCAGAAUAUUUAACAGUCAUCCCCCAGGAAAAAGGACUAACAAAAUUAGCACAACAUUGUAAAUUUUAUUUUGCUAUUUUUGGGGGAGUAUAGACUUUAACUGGGUGUUUUUCGGAGGAGGGGGUCUAAAUCUUGUAUUUACAUAGGUUUUCUAUUACAAAUCUUUCAAUUUUAGCAGAUAUAAGGUAUGUUUGUUUGGUCUAUUUGGGAAAGUUAUUUUUGAUGGGUGUGUCGUUAGUUUUUUUUUAGAGGCCGACAUUCAUUUUCUCUGUCAGAAGAGUCGUCCUACAAUAUAUUUAGAUUUAAAUUUACCACAGAAUGAUUGAGAAAAAGCAAUUGGGUACUGUAUAACGUACAUGUUUUUCACUCUUUUCUGGGAUGUUUCCUAUAUCUUGACCAUGUUUUAGAAUAAACCCUUUUCAAUUUUGUGAAAAGUAUUCUUGUUCAAACUAUUUUUAAAAUUAAAACAUGCAUUUUAUUUGCAUUUGAAUCUGUAUUUGGAUCAUGUGAAAAAAACUGCAUAGAGUGUUUUAGUAAUCAAAUUACAAAACAAAAACACCUUAGAAUAUCAUAGUUUGUAAUUUAUCAAUGUCCUCAUCAGACUGCAGUUUAAUGAUGCAAAGAUUGUACAGUAAACAACAAUUUGUUAUUUGGAAAUAUUCAAGUUUAUUCUUUUGGUAAGCACAUUCUCUUAUAUUAUUCUUGCAUCUCUUAUUCUUGAAUAUAUAUAUAUUUGUUUUGAACAUUUUCUUUUUUUGUUUCAAUUUCUUUUUUUUUAUUUUUAUUUUUGCAAAUAUUUUACUACAUACUUCAUGUGUAUGCAGCAUCCGGGACAAGCAUCACAAUUAUCUGUAAAAAAUAAUAUUAUUAUACAAUGUAUAAAAUCGGUUUGACACUGGCUUGUUGUAUCUUGUGUAAGAUAUUUUAGGCGUCUGUCUAUAUUAAGAUUUACAAUAUUAUGAUGUUUUUUUUAUUCCAGUUUCAACAUAUAGUUUUUCUGCGUUUCUUCUACUUUGUUCAAAAUUUUUAGUUACAUCAACUGCUCAAGGGAGAAAACGUAUAGGUUUUAUACCUGUCAAUGAAAAUACGCAUAUUUUUGGUUGAUCAAAUGCUUUAUAACUUUUAUCUUUGUUUUUUUUUUCAGGUUCAGGUUAGAACUGUGACAUUCAAUAGAUCAAAUUAAGUAUAGCCGCACAUUUAUGAAUAUGAUAUGAGUUAAGUAAUAUCUGUAUAUUUUGAAGUAUGAUCACAUCAAAUUGUAACAAAUUAGCAUUGGUCGCGUGGAAACCUUCUCAAUACCAAUAAACAUGUCAAUAUGUACUAUUAUAGAUUCGUUAAACAAAAAUAUCAAAUCUUGAGCAGAUCCAUCAUUCAUGUUUCCUACCAAUGCCCCUCCCCCUGUCGAUCCUUUUUGGAAUGUUUGCCAAAUUUUCCAAUCCAUAAAAACAUAUGGGAAAAAAACAACACUUAAAAGAACAAAUUGAUAAUUUGCACAGACUCACAGAAAGUCGUAAUUGAGAGACAGUGGCAGGUAAACAGAUUCCAAAAAGAGGUUUUCAGGUUCAAAAUUUGAUAUUUGUGUAUAUUUCAGAAGAAAUCACAUGCCUUGAAAAGCAGAUAUUUAAAAUGCGAAUUUUCUUAGUUACACACAAGAAGACUGUGGAGUCUUACACUUAAAGUUUAUUUUUGAUGACCAAUAAAAAUCCUUGUUACAAAUGAAUUGCAUAGGAAUGAUCAAAACAAACUCCAUAAAAAACAAAAAUGACGGAUCAAAUUCUCGGUACGCUUGUCACUCUCUACUAGUAGUAACCUGUGCAUUGUUCGAAAAAAGCAAUGUCAGAAAAAAAUAAAGUCCGUUUUGAGGAAUGGGACCUUUUACAACAAUAUGUAUCUAGUCAAUCUUGAGAAAAAAAAAUCAUAUUGGGCUACAUGCUCUGAAAUGAAAGUUGUCAUGAAUUACAACAUUAUUCCAUAUAUUAUGAUAAUUUUGUUAUGUUAUGUAGGUACAAAUACCAUUAAUUGAGAAGAGAAAACUCAGAUGGAGGAUAUAAUGUAACAGCAGAAACUGAAGAUUUUCCCAGCACAAAAUAAAUUGCAGACACUGAUGAUAAAUCAGAUGACGAUCCAUUAUGAUGAGCACAAAGGUUCUGCUAAAACCAGUUUGAACAACUUAUUUCACUAUUACAGAAGGAUGGGCUCUUAAGAUUUCUAUUAACCAUUGAAGCACUUCAAUAGCUAGGUUAAGAAAUGUUUACAUUAUAUAUACAUGGAAUGCAAUGCUACAGAAAAAGACCAAAUGUUGAUCAAACAUGUAACAUUUUGAAACUAUUAAUGAACGAUGAUGGAAGAAAAAAAAUGAAUUACGAUAAAUCGGUAACCACAUCUUAAGUUAGGGUUUUAUUUGUCAUCUUUGUUAAACUUGGAUCUAAAGAUCCAGCAAAGUUACAACUGAGAAUUUGAAUGCAGUUGAUCAUGAACAUUUGCAAAAAGUAAAAUCACAAAAAUACUGAACUCCGAGGAAAAUUCAAAAAGGAAAGUCCCCAAUCAAAUGGCAAAAUCAAAAGUUCAAACACAUCAAACGAAUGGAUAACAACUGUCAUAUUCCUGACUUGGUACAAGGCAGAAAUGAAAACUGUUGAUAUUCAUGCUGUUUUCUUCGACUUGGCGGUGUAUAUUAUUAUACAGUUAUCAAGGAGAUUUGAAUUUUACAUUUUUUUAUUGUUUCAGACACAGACCAGUAUAACUAACG